Molecule: long non-coding RNA, 497 nt
Filed under: Gallus gallus (chicken)
Lineage: Eukaryota; Metazoa; Chordata; Aves; Galliformes; Phasianidae
Source: RNAcentral
CCGGACGGCUUCCCGACUGCGGUAUCGCUGUGCCCACUGCAGUAUGCCGCUGUUUCUCAGCUUUCCGCCACGAUCCCUCCGUGAGGUCCUCGCUAAGAAGAGCGCUCCGCCGGCACCGCUGUGCCCUCAGCCCGGCCCUUCUCUGCCCCUCUCCCCGCACACGAUGGGCGCAGUCCCGCACCUCCACGGUGCUAAGGGAGAAAGAGAGCGGCGGAGCCCUUCCCCGCCCCGAGAGGCGACGGCGCGCGAAGGAGACGAAGAACGGCAGUCUCAGAGAGGUAAUGCCGGGGGCAGCGGGAAAGGGCCGAGCGGGGAAAGGAGCCCGAGCCCACGGGAGGGGCCCCGGGCGGUCCGCGCUGAGGGCGGCGGUGCCGUCCCGCUGUGCCGCGAGCUGAGGCGGAGGGAAGAGAGCGGCGGGAGUGAGCGGGGAGCUGUGCUGAGUGUCCUCCUGCGGGAGAAGGGGCGGGGACGGGGCUGGGAUGGCACCGAGAGCGUUG